This 489-nucleotide ribosomal RNA is filed under the name Parapolystoma bulliense. Its description in RNAcentral is "partial 12S ribosomal RNA". Lineage: Eukaryota; Metazoa; Platyhelminthes; Monogenea; Polystomatidea; Polystomatidae. The record is from RNAcentral.
AUUUGUUUGAUUUUUUUUAUGGGUAGGUUUGUAUUUGGUAUUUUAUUUUUAGUUAUGAGGUUGUAUUUUAUUAAUUAUAUAAAUACUAAGAUAUUUUAUUGAAUAAGUUUGUUUUUUAAACAAGAAUUAGAUACUCUUUUAUAAAUAAGUUUAUUUGAGGAUUUUCUCAGUUAUAACUGAAAGAAAUUGGCAGCUGAUUAUAUCUUUCUAGGGGAGUGCGUAUUUUAAUAGAUGUUCCACUUAUUAUUUUACUGUAAAUAUUUCGUUAGUGUAUAUCCGGUUUAGUUAUAUAAAGUGAAUGUUUUGUGUAUAAAUUAUUAUUUUUAAUCCAGGUCACUAUGCUGCUUAUUUUAUAGUUAAUAUUCGCUACAAUUUAAAAUUAUUUGAUGAAAAUUUUAUUUAUUUAGGACUUAGUAGUAUUAUAAAAUUUUAAUUAGUUUAUGAGAAUUAAGUUUAGUUGGGGCACACAUCGCCCGUCAUCUUCGAUUU